Molecule: ribosomal RNA, 319 nt
Filed under: uncultured Veillonellaceae bacterium
Lineage: Bacteria; Bacillati; Bacillota; Negativicutes; Veillonellales; Veillonellaceae
Description: partial 16S ribosomal RNA
Source: RNAcentral
GGAGUUUGGGCCGUGUCUCAGUCCCAAUGUGGCCGUUCAUCCUCUCAGACCGGCUACCGAUCGUCGGCUUGGUAGGCUUUUACUCUACCAACUACCUAAUCGGACGCAGGCUCCUCGCAAAGCGAUAAAUCUUUAGUGCAGAAUCCAUGCGAACUCCGCACAACAUCCGGUAUUAGCGUCCCUUUCGGAACGUUGUCCCCGACUUUGCGGCAGAUUACCUGCGCUUUACUCACCCGUUCGCCACUAAACCCGAAGGUUCCGUUCGACUUGCAUGUGUUAAGCACGCCGCCAGCGUCGUCCUCGAGCCAUGAUCAAACUA